This 85-nucleotide transfer RNA is filed under the name Felis catus (domestic cat). It matches the Rfam family "tRNA". Rfam says of the family: Transfer RNA (tRNA) molecules are approximately 80 nucleotides in length. Lineage: Eukaryota; Metazoa; Chordata; Mammalia; Carnivora; Felidae. The record is from Rfam by way of RNAcentral.
GCCUGGGUGGCUCAGCUGGCUAAGCAUCUGACUUCGGCUCAGGUCAUGAUCUCACGGUUUGUGGGUUCAAGCCCCGUGUCAGGCU